Molecule: unclassified non-coding RNA, 305 nt
Filed under: plant metagenome
Description: partial contains 5.8S ribosomal RNA, internal transcribed spacer 2, and large subunit ribosomal RNA
Rfam family: 5.8S ribosomal RNA (bases 1-105)
Source: RNAcentral
GAAAUGCGAUAAGUAGUGUGAAUUGCAGAAUUCAGUGAAUCAUCGAAUCUUUGAACGCACAUUGCGCCCUUUGGUAUUCCUUAGGGCAUGCCUGUUCGAGCGUCAUCUAAACCUUCAAGCCCUGCUUGGUGUUGGGUGCCUGUCCCGCCUCCGCGCGCGGACUCACCUCAAAUCCAUUGGCGGCCCCCGCGUCGGCCACGAGCGCAGCAGAAACGCGAACUCGUGAGCCCGCCCGGGCGGCUCCCAGAAGCUACACCCACCCAGUUUGACCUCGGAUCAGGUAGGGAUACCCGCUGAACUUAAGC